Long non-coding RNA from Felis catus (domestic cat), 981 nucleotides. RefSeq lists it as uncharacterized. Lineage: Eukaryota; Metazoa; Chordata; Mammalia; Carnivora; Felidae. The record is from RefSeq and is a predicted model, not a curated record. The transcript has 2 exons.
CACCAGGGGCAGGACGCUCUCAAAAGAUGCCCACCGGUGCCCCUCCACGCUUCAGCCCCCCACCCACCCCGUGUGAGGCAGGUGGUAUUGGGAGAGGCCACUGCGUGGGUGGAGACGCUGUGCCCUUGGGUGAGCCUACUGACCCCACCGAGCCCCGGCCUCCUUGUCUGUGAGGCGGGGACCGUUCGCGAUACUUGCGUCGCGGUGCUGCUGUGCGGCCCGAGUGAGGCCACGCAGGCGAAGCGCGCAGCUCAGUGCCCCGCACACAGCAGGGCUCACAGCGGGCCAGCCUUUCCUUGCCCCUCGCUCCCUGCGGCGGACGGGCCCCGGGGGAGCCGGGCCUGCCCUGGACGCCAGCGUGGGGGUACAGACGGGAACCCCAGCCUGGUGCCGGGAAGAUGGUGCCGGCCUCAUAGGUAAUUUCAACCCUUCCAGGGGCCACACUGCGAUUAAAUACAUUUUAAUCACACAUCGUACGGAACCCGACGUAGCCAACGUAUUCUUACAAUCAUCACAACGCGUAAUCACUAUGGUGAUUAGUAACAAAACGUUUUACAUUCUUUUUCUCCUUCUACACCUGCAUUUUCGUACCGCGUCUCAGUGUGGACCAGCCACAUUCCAGGGGCCCCGCGGUCACACAUGGCCAGCCGUGGCUCUACUGGGGGACACAGGCCCGGAGCGUCCCCGGGCCCGCAGCGAGGAGAGGCGACCGCUCCCUGACCUGGCUUUACAGGAAAUCAAGGCCAUACAAAUGGAACUCGUUCUGAUAAAAACCCCGACAUCUCUAGGAAGAGAAUGCAACUCAGAGCCUGUUCAUAUUCGGCCCUUGAGUCUGAAGGGAGUCUGGGGAAAUGCUAAUUUUGAACUUUCCUACACCCUUCCUGCUUCUGGAUGCUGAGGGCUGCCUUGAAUUCCUUUGCACGAUAAAUGGAGGGGAGAAAUCAUGUCACUUCAGCAAAACACAAGCUCAAUUUUUCCUGA